Non-coding RNA from Pelobates cultripes (western spadefoot toad), 255 nucleotides. The record is from the annotation of a GenBank genome assembly. NCBI's taxonomy places the organism in Eukaryota, Metazoa, Chordata, Amphibia, Anura, Pelobatidae.
CUUCAGGUGGUGGAAGCAUAUUUUAACAGUUUGCUAGCAGCGAUCGUGUAUGGGAUUGACAGAUUUAAAGGAACACUGUACAGCCCGUAAUCCCCUCAUCAAUGAGCCCCCUCACCCCAUACCUACCACCUCACGUCCAAGUCCUCUAAUUAGUGAACGAAAGGGUUUUGAGGGUAGAAGAAGGGGUAGGGGGGAAGGCAUCACUGCAGGCACUAUAACUACUUCAAUAAAAUUAAGCUGUUAAAGUGCCUACAG